This 253-nucleotide ribosomal RNA is filed under the name uncultured bacterium. RNAcentral's name for it is "partial 16S ribosomal RNA". It matches the Rfam family "Bacterial small subunit ribosomal RNA", at positions 524 to 776 of the family's 1533-position model. The record is from RNAcentral.
UACAGAGGGUGCGAGCGUUGUCCGGAAUCACUGGGCGUAAAGGGCGCGUAGGCGGCUUGAUAAGGUUGCGGUGAAAGCCCGGGGCUCAACCCCGGGUCGGCCGUGGCAACUGUCGAGCUGGAGCACUGUAGAGGCAGGCGGAAUUCCGGGUGUAGCGGUGGAAUGCGUAGAGAUCCGGAAGAACACCGGUGGCGAAGGCGGCCUGCUGGGACGGUACUGACGCUGAGGCGCGAAAGCGUGGGGAGCGAACAGG